UUUUCCUCUAUUUGCAUCAAUCUCCACCUCCAUCCUUUUGUUCGUAGUUGCUAAGCUAUAUGGGUUCUAGAAGAAUCCAAAAUCGGCGAUAUGUCCAUAAAAAUGGUUAUAUACACCUUACAAUUUUGUAAAUUUCAUACUGUGCAAGUACAUAUGUGGGUAUUUUUUAUUGGAUUGAAAAGAAUUUUUGAAUUUUCUUAUAAUUCCCAAAUUUUUCUUACCCUAUUUUGAUCCUGUUUCAUACUAAUCCGUACAAUCUACAAUCUAUGAAAGCUAAUCCUAAUUCAAAAUUCAAAAAAUUCUCAAGGAGAAUCCAAAAAUACCCCUAAUUCCCCUUUUCCCACAUCGUUCAGAGCCUAAAAAUGAACCCUUAUUUUGUUUCUAUAUAAAGCUCCUUAUGAGAUAAAAAUGCCAAUUCUCAAGGUCUGAAAAGGCUAAAAAACUUUAUUGAGUGAUGUACCUAUGAAAAAUGUCACAUUCAAUGAUUAAAAUAAGGAAUUUAUGCUUGAACUUAGGUUAGUUUGGUGGAUAUGAUAUCGUUUGUUGCAUGGUUGUAGCGAAAUCAAGUAGAAAGUGGCUUGACUUGAAAAUAUUAAAGAAAAGUUUGAAAUAGAUAAAAUGUUGGUUAGGCUACGAGUAGUUAAGACAUUAUACGAAUCUUAGCACAACUCGUAAAGAUGGCAGUGGCUAAGCUUAAGCUGGAAGAGCUAAGUAUUAGAUGAUAACUAUUCAUAAAGAGUGAAUAUGAAUCAUAGCAUGCAAUCAUAAAGAGAAUAUUGAGCUAUGAUGAAGUCCAGAAGUGAAGUCAUUUAAGACUGCGAGUCAUAAGGUUUGGCUACGACUCAUAAUGAACAAUAGUAAAGAGAUCAAUGUUCAAAAUCCUAAAGUUUAAGGCACAAGUGAUAAUGAGUGAAGACCAUGAGUCGUAAGGACUGCUAUGACUCUUGGUGAGUAAUCAUAAUGAAAAUAUAGGCUUGAAAGUUGGAUGAUGAAAUUACACUGGAAUGUCAGCAACUAGUAAACAUACGACUCAUAAAGAGACCUUACGAGUCGUAAUGAUUGCCGACUUAAUUUUCCUAUUCCAUUUUUAUUAGGAUUAUUAUUUUGAGAUACUAUAAAUACCUUAGGGUUAUUCCUUUAUUAGGUUAUGCAAUUUGAAUGCACUUUUACAUUUCUUUUGAUACUCUUAGCAUACUUUGAUCAUUGAGAUUUUGUUCUUGGAGUUUUGGUUUUGCAUCAAAUUGGAGACUUUGGAUUUAUUCUUUCAUUAUUCUACAAUUAAUUACAUGUGUUCUUCAUUUAUGUCAUAUAUUAUUUCAUGAACAUGAUCAGCUAAAUUCCUUAACUAGGGUGGUGGGAACCCUGACGAAUUAGCUAUAUAAGGGAAGUAGGAGAUCUAUCUAAUCUAUUGUGGUUGCGUGUAUUGCAAACUUUUUCAUAUUAAUUUGACCUAAGCUACUACAGAAGUGUAGUGAUUUCCUGUAUUCGAGAACAUCCUCACAAGGAAGUUUGAGAUUAGGAAAAAGAGGUUACAAUAGUUUUGAGGCUAUCAACCCUCGUCUAAUCAAAUUGAGAAUUAAAAGGUGACACUUGUAUUGAGGUUAUAGACAAGGUACAACAAGGUGAAACUCUGAGAUUCACAAGGUAAAGGGUGAAAUCUAUCAAUGUGCUCAUAAGAUGGUUGAUAGUACAUAGCUUGUCAACUUUGCAUACAAAGCAGGAGGUUAGGUGGAUUGAACACGAGAAUCUUAUGUAGUUGUGAAGCCCGGGGGAACACAGUCCUAAUAUUCAUAUUCUAUUUUUUACAAACUCAACCUUCCAAGUUCGGCUCCCUGUUACUAUUGCCUUCACAUUCCCCCAUUUACUUUUCCGCAGUGUUCGUGGAUUUUGUCAAAGUUUAAGAUACUAUUUGAUGUCUUCACUUUGGGAUCGGCCCCAAUCUUAGUUGGGUUACUAUAUUUGGCAUCGACCAUAGCAUACUUUUUGGAGGUUAGUUUUGGGUGAUAUCAUUAAGCAAGAGUUAAAUUUUUUUUUUUACAAAUUUCUCAAGAAAGUUGUCGAUAGAUGUGGUGGUUGAAUUUUCCAGUGGUCGAGAUUACGAUGAUAGCUCGAAGUUCUAUUUUGCUACCCUAAAAAAGGUAAACACACCUCUCACUUUUAGUUUUAUUAUUAAUUUUUUGUCAUAUCUUUCUCCAUAGCAAUAGUUGUGUAGUUAUAGACGUGGUAAUAUUGGGAUUGUUUGUAGUAGAAGGCUUUGAAGCGUAUAGGAUUUUGAUGUGAUAAGUGUUGUGAUGAUUAUGCUUGAAUUUAUUAUUUUUUAUCAAUAAUUUCUUUAUUAAUCAAAAUUGUCAUUACAUACCCGGGUAGAAGUUAACCAUCUACCACCUAUCACCUAUCUUUGAGCUAGUUUAAUUUUACAUAUACUGCUAACUCUACUCAACCUACUCAAAAACUCAAGGGGUAUUAUAGUGGUUCUUCUUUCUAGGAAAAUGAUUCAGCAUCCUCAAGGUGCUUUGCCACGUAGCUGUAUUCCUCCCCUGAAUGUGCAUAUUCAUUCCAAUCUCCUUACAUAUUUUUUCCAAGUUGAGCCGAGCUAUCUAAAACCUCAGUAUGUCUAGAUAUAAUACAAAGUCAUAGAAAAAGCAGGAAAAACUAUCUCAGUAGGUCCAGUCUUUUUCUUAGCUAAUUUACAUAUCCAAUCUAGUUCCUGCAUCCAGGGCAUUAUGCUUCUGUUAAAGCCUAGCCUUUUUACCAAGGUACUCCACAACUGUUUACUAUAGUUACAUUUAAAGAAGAGAUGUCCAAAUGUCUCAUCAGUUUGAUUGCAAAAGGCACACUCUAGUGUUACUUGGAUUCUAAUUUUCUAAAGUGUAUCAACUAUAGUUAAUCUCUUAUUCACUGCUAACCAUAGAUUGAACUUGAACCUGGGAUGGAUGUAUUUUGCAAAGUAAUACUCUUCCAGUCUACUUUUGUGUAUUGUGGUUGCGAACUCGGAUAAUCCUUCCCGACAGAGAAUUUACCACCUUAUACUAUCUUAUCUAGUGUUUCCAUCAAGACCUCCUCGCUCUGCAAAGUAUCACCUUUCUACUAUUAGUUAUCUUCCUCACUACCCAAGCUGUAUUUUUUGGUAUUGGCAUAUUAUUCAGGUUCCUUUGCUUGACAUAAUAGUAGUGCACCCAUUUGAUCCAUAGUGUGUCCUUGUUUUUUGAAAUAGCCCACAGAUGUUUUAAUAUAGCUGCCUUGUUCAACAGCUUCAAAUCACUAACUCCCAGUCCACCUGUUGAGCCUGGUGGACAUAUCUUCUCCCAUGCUAUUAAUGCUUUUUUUGAUAAUUCCUAUUGUCCUAUCCAUAAGAAGGUUCUACAUAUAGCUUCCAGCAUCUUAAUCACUUUCUUAGGCAAUAUGAAUAUCUGUGCCCAGUAACUCUGCAUACCAAAUAGUACUGCUUUUAUAAGUUAAAGCCUACCAGCAUAAGAUAGCAGCCUUGUUGUCCAUCAUAUAAUUUUGGCAGAGAAUUUCUCCACUAGAGGCAUACAUUAUGUAAUUGUCAGCUUCUUUGUAGAUAAUAGAACUCCCAGGUACUUGAAAGGUAAAGUCCCUUAUAAAAAUCCCAAACUCUGUACCAGCCACACUUUAGAUUGUUGCUUAAUCUUACCAUAUAGAUGGAGCUUUUAUUAGCAUUUUCUUCUAGCCCAGAUGCUCUUGAGACCCUUUGAAAUGUUUGUUACAGCAGCAAGAUAGAUUCUUUGUCAGCCCUGUAAAACAUAAACAGGUCAUCUGCAAAACACAUAUGUAUUAAGUUAAAUCUCUUGCAUCUUGGAUGGAAGUGGAACUAUUUCUGUUGUGCUAGUUGUUGCAUUUCUCUAUGAAGGUAUUCCAUGGCUAUUACAAAGAGGUAAGGAGACAUGGGAUCCUCUUGCCUCAUUUCCCUUCUAGCUUGGAAUAAUUUAGUAAGCCCUUCAUUAAGCAUCAAAGAGUAAGACACAGUUGAUACACAUUCCAUAAUCUAAUCUCAACAAGCAUGGCCUUAAGAAAAGGUCAUUUUAAGGUAUCAUAAGAUUUCCUGUGGUACACUUUAAGGACACAUCUAGGUGAUAUAUUUUUCCUAGUAUACCCGUUGAAUAGCUCAUGACUAAGUAGAACAUUAUUUGUGAUAGAUCUUGUUUUAAUAAAGGUAGACAGUGAGCAACCAAUUACACCAUUCAGCACCUAUUUUAUUCUGUUAGCCAGGAUCUUAUCAACUAUUUUGUAGGUGGUGGAACAACAAGUUAUGGUCUAAAUCCCUUAACCUUAUUUGGUGAUGGAACCUUAGGAAUCAGUGUGAUAGUUGUGCAGUUCCAAGCUCUCUUCAUCUUUCCAGUAUAAAAUAAUGUUGCACAGCUGAAUAGACCUCUAUUCUGAUGAUAGACCACUGCUGUUAGAACAAAUCAAUAGGGUACCCAUCCAUCCUUGGGCUUUUUUAUUUAGGCAUAUUUCUAACCACUUGGUGUAUUUCCUCUGAACUCACCAUUUUUACUAGCUAAAUUUGUUGUUCUCUAGUAAGAAAGACACUACUUUGAUCCCUUCUGAGUUUGGAUAUGGCAUUUUAUUAGCACAAUCACCCAUAAGUGCAGUGAAUAUGUCAACAAAUUCAACCUCUACUUCCUGUGAUCCUAUGAGCUUUGUUCCAAUUUCUAUAUAGAUUGAUAAAAUUGUAUUCUAGGCAGACCUGAUCUGGAGCUGAGCAUGAAAAUAUUUUGUAUUAGCAUCACCAUUAUCAAUCCAACAUGCUCUAGAUUUUUGUCUUAAAACUUGCUCCUCUACUAAGCUUCAUUUUUGAAUAUCCUUUAAAAUAGCCUUUUCCUAGUCAAACAAAUCCUGAUUAUUUAAUUGGAUAGUAAUCUGAGCUUAUACUAUUUCCAGUUGUUGUCUAGCCUGGGAAAGAUUUUGAGCAUAAGAAGCCAUGUAAGUGUUGAGGUCCUUCGCUUGUACUUUGAGUUUCUUAUAUCUCUUCUAGAGGAUAGUCAUAGGGUCCCCUCUCAUAUAUCAACUCCAUACUUGUUGCACACUCUGUUGAAACUGAUGAUGUAGAAAUACUAAAGCAUAAAGUCUGAAAGGCUUUAGAUAUACGCAUUCUUUGUGUAUACAUUAGACCAAUAUUAGUGAGUGAUCAGACAUUCUCGAGUUCAAGAAAUACACUUCAGUGUGAAAAAUCUUUAUAUCUAUUCAUAAUUACCAAGCACCCAGUCAAUUCUGCUAUAUACUCUAUUUGCAUCCUGCUUUUGUUGGUUCAAGUAAAGUAACUACCCUUUGAUAUCAAUGGUGUUAGCUGCAGAUUAUCUAUCAACUCUUUAAAUCCUUUGAUCUCAUGGUGUGUUACUGGUUGACCUAUUUUAUCAUCAGUGCUCAGGACAUUGUUAAAGUCACCACAUAAUAGCCAGGGUUCAUAAAUAUUCCCACUAAUACAUUGGAUAUCAGGCCACAAUGAUUCUUUUUGAGACAACUCAUUCUUAGCAUAUACAAUAGUGACAAUAGUUAAGAAAUCUAUCGAUACAUUCUGUACCCUACAAUGCACAUAUUGCUCAUGUACUUGCAAUAUUUGUACAUGAAGGUGUUUUUUCCAAAACAACCAGACUCUGCCAUUUUCACUACGUGGAAAUUUUUUUACAUAAGACCAUUCUUUAUUAAAUUUUAGAAGUACAUCCUUAGCAUUUCUUUCUUUAACUCUUUUUUCUAAACAACCAAAUACAUCUAUUUUAUUCUUUUUUCAUAAAGAGGAUCACCUCUUUCUGCUUAAAGGGAUUAUUUAACCCUCUUACAUUCUAGGUACAGAUAUUUAUGGAGGUUGGUGAGGUACAACCUGGCUUAGUCUUGAGGGACCAGCUCUAUUAUUUUCUAUUUUAUUCAAUACAUCAAAUUUGUUACCUGGAAACUUGCUUUCCAUACCACUCAUAGUAGCCACUUCAGGUUCAGCUAUUCCAGUAUCUUCCUUCACCUUAUUUUGGUCCUUAACGACAGCUUAAUCUUGUCAAACUUUCCUAGUUGGUAUCAUUUUCUUCCUUCUUUUACCUCUUCUUUUUUGUUUAGGGAGUUUCUUAAAUGCCUCCUCUUCUUGCUCUUUCUAUUUAUCUUGAAUAGGUUCUUUAUUCUUUAGCCAGCAUUCCUCAUCUAUGUGUCCAAAUCUAACAUAAUCAGAGCAGAAUUUUAGCUUUCAAUCAUAUUCAAUCCCUUUCUUAAUGGUACCAAAUGGUGUGUGAAUCUCAAUAGAGUCUAGGAGCAGAUAGGAGAUAUCUACUUUGAUCAAUACUUGAGCAUAGAGAUUCUAUUCAUUUCUACAGUGUACCUAUCAGUAUGAAAGGGUCUUCCAAUUACACUAGCCACCUUGCUUAGUGCCUCCACAAUCCAACAACGCACAGGCAUCCCAGGUAAGUUAACCCAUAGGGGAAUUGUGGUGAUGUAUUCAGUGUCAAAAACAAAAUCCAUUACCCAAUGCUUCAAUAUUAAUGUCUUAUUGUGGUAAGUGCAAGGGCCAGCUUGCAUGACUUUUUUUCUAUCCUCAAUCGAUGAAAAUCGAAAUAUAUAAUAGCCGUCCGCAUGGUACAGGAUUUGGGGAUUUUUCACAAAGUUCCACACAGUAGUUACAAAAUUGUCCAUAAACUUCUCAUAAGGAGUAUCACCAAGUACAUAUGAGUGCAGUCGACCAGUGAUUAUCAGUUGCUUGCAUGUCCUCCAUAAUCAACUUAACCACUUUCUUUUGCUCGCAUUAGUUAGGUGGUUGAUAUGUCAGCAUACUACCUUUGUUUGCACCUCUGUUCAUUGGAGAUUUUGGGACCUUUAUUGUCUUUGUUUUUUGUGUAGCUGGAUUUUCAGAUGUCGAGCUCGUUGAAGAACUAACAUCUGAGAUUUAAAGUCUCUGAGGGAGGGUCACUGUUGAGGUAAUUGGGUUUUUAUCUUUUGAUUUUUCUCUCAAACACUAUUGUAUUCAACAUUUUCCUCAUCAUCAAGUUCCUCUUCCUCGUGAAUAGGUUGAAAUUAAGUUGGGAGGAAGCUACCAAAAGUUAAAGAAGAACAUUUUCGUUAUGUUUCCAUUGCCGUAGUGGCCAUCACUAUCAUGGAGGUCGCCGUAUUACAUCGUCGUCCCAUGUUCGGUGCACGUUAGCUUGCCUUGGCUUAUCGUGUGUCGAAUUUAAUAUUUUUCUUUAUUCAAACAAGUGCCGGUUGGAAUUCGGUCCACGAUUUUCUCAUUUUUUGAUAGGAUAAACCUCAUUAAGUAAAAAUGAAGAUGUUGUGUUGAUAAUGCCCC
Molecule: long non-coding RNA, 7282 nt
Filed under: Capsicum annuum
Lineage: Eukaryota; Viridiplantae; Streptophyta; Magnoliopsida; Solanales; Solanaceae
Description: long non-coding RNA (CANN_LNC011344)
Source: RNAcentral